AUUUUCAGUGGCUGUUCUUCAGCUUCAAACAAGAUUAUAAAAAGACAUCACAGUGAUGCACUGGGAUUUAAUAUUUUAGCACCAACAAAGGGCAGUUUCUGACCAUAUGUUUCCUGAUAAGAAGAAACCAAUGAUAACAAGACAAAUAGUAAAACUUUAAUUAAUUUCCACUGGACUUCAUGCAAAAUAAGAACCCUAAGUGCCCAACAACAAGGAACAUGAGAUUUGACUUGGAGUGCAUCAAAGUGGCAACAGACCAGAUGAAGUCACAAUGUGUCAUCUGAUAUGUGGAAUCCAAAUCUAUGUCAAGGGUACUGUAAAAUUAUUGACACCAGGAACCACUGGCAAACAGAAGCAUAAUGCAAUGGUUCCAAAACUUAAAAGAGACAGCCAGUGUCACAGGUCUUCCUCUAAGUGGACAUCCCCCUAGGUCAACAUAUGUUGGUUGAGUGCAAGUUGCAUUUCACUGAAGUCAAUUUGUGAUGCAUGAAGCAAGAUCAACUCUCCAUAAAGUGUUACAUAAGUGGUUCCACCUUUUUGUAUACAAAGAGCAAAUAGUCCAAUCAUUGGAACCAAAUA
Molecule: long non-coding RNA, 579 nt
Organism: Schistocerca gregaria
Lineage: Eukaryota; Metazoa; Arthropoda; Insecta; Orthoptera; Acrididae
Exons: 3
Source: RefSeq, a predicted model, not a curated record